UAACUCUAUUAAAUAUUUACAAUGUGAUCAAUUUGUUAUUAAACAAAGAAAGAACAUGUAUAAGUUAAAUAUCUUACUAUCUUUUUAUUAUUUUGCAACUGUUGCUGUCUUUGCUAAUGCACCUGUAAUGAGUGGUAAUUUUUGUAUAAUUCAUGAACCAGUUUUAAAGACCUUUUCUUACAACUUGACAAGUCUUUCAAAUCCUACGAAAGAUGUUACAUUGAGUUUUGAAGACCUAAAUGAAACUAUUCGACUACAAUUAUGUAUGCCGUUAAAACAAAAGUGCAAUGGAAAGGAUGGAUACGCCAUUUGUUUGACAAGAAAUAAAGAAGAGAAAGGAAUAGGGAAGACACCACCAAAAAUAAAUGCAGAAAAUGGAACAAUAAAGUUUAUAUUUACAGGGGACAGUUGUACAUCUAAACUUAAUUAUAUUGUACAUAUAAUCAUGAAAUGUGAUUACCAAGCUGGAAGCGAUUCUUUUCCUGAGAUAUAUCCUCAUGAUGCAAAUCAGUGUGAUUUAUACAUGAUAUGGAAAACUGCUCUAGCUUGUGGUCCUAGAGUUACACAGAAUUGUGCAGUAACAAAUAAUGGAUUGCAUUAUGAUCUAUCUCAUUUAACAAAAUAUUCAGAAAAUUAUGUUAUUCAUACGGGUAAUAAUACAUCUCCAAAAAUUAUAUUAAAUGUUUGCCAUUCCGUGAUAUUUGAAUACAAUGCUCUGUGUCAAACACGUACGGGAGCUUGUUUACGAGAUCCUUCAAAAUCUAGAUAUGUGACUUUGGGUAAUGUACAGAGUCCAUUAUCUAUCCAGGAAGAUGGGCACUUACAGCUUGUGUACGAACAAGGAGAUUUGUGUACAAAGCAUAUUUUAGAACCACAUAUUAAAACCACCAUUACUUUCAUAUGUGAUUUUAAAGCUUUGGAUACAAUUCCAGAGUAUGUGGGAGGAAGUGAAGAAUGUCAUUAUCGAAUAAUAUGGAAAACUGCAGAAGCAUGUAGUAUAGAAUCUUUGCGUAAUCAUAGUGCAAUAACUGCUGGAAAAUGUACAGUCAAUAAUCCUCUUACAAAUUUUACGUAUGAUUUACAAUCUUUAAUGAAUCAUGACUUUUAUGCUAACGCUCAAGAUGGAACAAAGUAUACAUUUGGAGUGUGUACACCACCUUCAAAUUCAAGCUGUGUAUCUGGAACAGGUGCUUGUUUGACUGAAAAUAGUACAUCUAUGGGAAUAGCAAAUACAAAUCUCAUGUGGGAAGAAGGUGGACCAUAUUUAAAUUACACGAAUGGAGCUGAUUGCGGAAAUAAACAACGCCGUUAUACGGUUAUUGCAUUUUUGUGUGGAGCAGAAGGAUCGCCGAAUAAACCACUUGUUAUGGAACAAAAUUCGUGUCAGUUAAUUAUACAUUGGAACACUAAUUUAGUUUGCGAGAAAAGGAUGAAGUGUACUACAGCUGACAGUGAGAUAAACUUAAGUUCAUUGAUAAGUUCUACCAGUAAUUACGUUGUGAAAGUGAAUAAAACGGAAUUUCAUAUAAAUAUAUGCAGACCAUUGGUUCCUAAACCAGGUUUAACAUGUACACAUGGCAGUGCAGUUUGCAAAGCUUCAUUAAAUGCGAAUAAUGAUUACAUAAACGAAGUCAGUUUAGGAUUUCCAAAGGAAAGGCCUAUAAUAAAUAGCGAUCGUAAAACAAUGUUACGAUACAUAGGUGGAUCACCUUGCCCUGAAAAUCCAAAUAAAUUAAUUUCUUCGAACUUCACAUUUCCAUGUGAUUAUAAAGACAAGGGAUCUCCAGAAUUCAAGGAAUACAAAGACUGUACUUACGUUUUUGAGUGGAAAACUAGCAUUACAUGUGGUGCUGUAAUGGGUUAUUUGAUUUCUCCCUGUAUUAUAAAAGAUCAAUUACUUUUACAUGAAUGUAAUUUGUCUUUAUUACACAAAAAUCAACAAGUGUAUUAUGUAAAAAACAAACAAGGAAAAACAUAUAGCAUAAAUAUAUGUGGAGGUCAAAAGCUUUGUAAUAAUUCUGCAAUAUGUCAAGAAAACAAUGCCUAUGGAUCAUUUAAAAACGUAUUUUUCGAUUAUGGUAGAAAUGUCAUAAGAUUACAAUAUUCGGAUGGUAGUAAAUGUGGAAACAGUAAGUUCCUAUGCUUCUGAAGUUCGAUUCAUAUGCAAUGAAUCCAUAGGUAUUGGUGUUCCAAAAUUGCUAUGGGAAUCAACGUGUAGUGCGGAAUUUGAAUGGUACACUAACGUUACUUGCACUUGGCAGUCGAAUACUUCACAGCCAACUGCUGCUUCAGA
This 2293-nucleotide unclassified non-coding RNA is filed under the name Megachile rotundata (alfalfa leafcutting bee). Its description in RNAcentral is "cation-independent mannose-6-phosphate receptor, transcript variant X4". Lineage: Eukaryota; Metazoa; Arthropoda; Insecta; Hymenoptera; Megachilidae. The record is from RNAcentral.